Molecule: ribosomal RNA, 253 nt
Filed under: uncultured bacterium
Lineage: Bacteria
Description: partial 16S ribosomal RNA
Rfam family: Bacterial small subunit ribosomal RNA
Source: RNAcentral
UACAGAGGGUGCAAGCGUUAAUCGGAAUUAUUGGGCGUAAAGCGCACGUAGGUGGUUUACUAAGCCAGCUGUGAAAUCCCCGGGCUCAACCUGGGCACUGCAGUUGGAACUGGUAAGCUAGAGUAGGGUAGAGGGGUGUGGAAUUCCAGGUGUAGCGGUGAAAUGCGUAGAUAUCUGGAGGAACAUCAGUGGCGAAGGCGACACCCUGGACUCAUACUGACACUGAGGUGCGAAAGCGUGGGGAACAAACAGG